Molecule: non-coding RNA, 1119 nt
Organism: Myodes glareolus (Bank vole)
Lineage: Eukaryota; Metazoa; Chordata; Mammalia; Rodentia; Cricetidae
Source: the annotation of a RefSeq genome assembly
UUCAACAGCCAUCCUGACACCACAGCCCAGGGGUUGGUUACUUACUUCUGUCUCCAGCAGUCAGACAAGCACCAUGAAGAGGCUGCUGUGCUCUCUGCUGGGACUGCUGUGUGCCCAGGUUUUCUGGGUGAAAGGGCAGCAAGUGAAGCAGAGUCCUGUAUCCUUGGUGCUGCAGGAGGGAGAGAGCACAGAGCUGCAGUGCAACUUUUCCACCAGUGCAAGGCAAAUGCAGUGGUUUUACCAAAGCCCUGGGGGACACCUCAUCAGCCUGUUCUUCAAUCCUUCAGGAACAAAGCAGAGUGGAAGACUGAAGUCCACGACGGUCAUCCAGGAACGCCGCAGCUCUUUAUACAUUUCCUCCUCUCAGACCACAGACUCGGGCACUUAUUUCUGUGCUGUGGAUCCACAGUGCUCCCCACACACCUGCAGCCAGUACACAAACCUUCAGCUGGGUGGGUGUGGCCUUCCCCUGUUAUCAGACAUCAGAUUUCCACAAGAGAACAUCUGCUUGAUUUAAUAUCCCUGCUUGGUAUAGGCAGAGUUUUGAGUUUUAACCCUCAGGUAAGCUUUUGGCCAUGUAAAUUAAGGAUUUAGCUUUUUAAAUUCUCAAUAUACACUCCUUUCUGAUGCAUAAAUGUCCAUCUUAGAACUAACAGAGAAGCUGAUGGAAAGACUGAACCAAUGUCAGGUAAUUUGCUGUGGACAGGCUCAGGGUUAUGCAGAGAAAACAAACUGCAGCAACAGCAACAACAUCAAGUCAAAGAAGAUACAGGAUGUACAGACAGCUGGAUGUUCUAGCUUCCUUUCUGUUGCUGUGAUAAAGCUCUCAGAGAAAAAGCAACUUAGAAGGUGAAAGGAUUUAUUUAAAUUUCACUGCCAGGCCAUAGUCCAUCAUUAGUGGUAAUCAAGGUGGAAACUCAAACUGAAGAUUGAAACAGAAACCCUGGGGAAACUCUGUUGCUAGCUCCCUUACAGGCUCACACUUAACUAGCUCCUAAUAUGACCCAGGCCACUUUCACACAGAAUGGUGUUACCCACAAUGGGCAGGUCUCCAUUCAAUUCAUCAGUUAAAAAAACUUAGUGCAAUUUUAUUGAAUUUAUAGAAGACGUUGAGGAUAU